GUGGGGAAUCUUGCGCAAUGGGCGAAAGCCUGACGCAGCCAUGCCGCGUGAAUGAUGAAGGUCUUAGGAUUGUAAAAUUCUUUCACCGGGGACGAUAAUGACGGUACCCGGAGAAGAAGCUCCGGCUAACUUCGUGCCAGCAGCUGCGGUAAUACGAAGGGGGCUAGCGUUGCUCGGAAUUACUGGGCGUAAAGGGCGCGUAGGCGGACAGCUUAGUCAGAGGUGAAAGCCCAGGGCUCAACCUUGGAAUUGCCUUUGAUACUGGCUGUCUUGAGUUUGGGAGAGGUGAGUGGAACUCCGAGUGUAGAGGUGAAAUUCGUAGAUAUUCGGAAGAACACCAGUGGCGAAGGCGACUCACUGGCCCAAUACUGACGCUGAGGCGCGAAAGCGUGGGGAGCAAACAGGAUUAGAAACCCCAGUAGUCC
RNAcentral lists this ribosomal RNA (425 nucleotides) under uncultured bacterium. RNAcentral describes it as "partial 16S ribosomal RNA". It matches the Rfam family "Bacterial small subunit ribosomal RNA", at positions 354 to 796 of the family's 1533-position model. The record is from RNAcentral.